This 407-nucleotide ribosomal RNA is filed under the name uncultured Cellulosimicrobium sp. RNAcentral describes it as "bacterial SSU rRNA". It matches the Rfam family "Bacterial small subunit ribosomal RNA", at positions 355 to 774 of the family's 1533-position model. Lineage: Bacteria; Bacillati; Actinomycetota; Actinomycetes; Micrococcales; Promicromonosporaceae. The record is from RNAcentral.
UGGGGAAUAUUGCACAAUGGGCGAAAGCCUGAUGCAGCGACGCCUCGUGAGGGAUGAAGGCCUUCGGGUUGUAAACCUCUUUCAGCAGGGAAGAAGCGCAAGUGACGGUACCUGCAGAAGAAGCGCCGGCUAACUACGUGCCAGCAGCCGCGGUAAUACGUAGGGCGCAAGCGUUGUCCGGAAUUAUUGGGCGUAAAGAGCUCGUAGGCGGUUUGUCGCGUCUGGUGUGAAAACUCGAGGCUCAACCUCGAGCUUGCAUCGGGUACGGGCAGACUAGAGUGCGGUAGGGGAGACUGGAAUUCCUGGUGUAGCGGUGGAAUGCGCAGAUAUCAGGAGGAACACCGAUGGCGAAGGCAGGUCUCUGGGCCGCAACUGACGCUGAGGAGCGAAAGCAUGGGGAGCGAACA